Mandrillus leucophaeus (drill) is the source of this 669-nucleotide long non-coding RNA. RefSeq lists it as uncharacterized. The transcript is spliced from 3 exons. NCBI's taxonomy places the organism in Eukaryota, Metazoa, Chordata, Mammalia, Primates, Cercopithecidae. The record is from RefSeq and is a predicted model, not a curated record.
GACAUUACAAAGGAGCUCUGUGUCAGAAACUAGGGUUAAAGAACAAAUACAGAACAAAGAUUCCUCUAGCACCCCUACUGCAAGGAUUUUAAGAACUAUAUUUCAGGAUAAAGACCUGAGGGUCACAAGAUGUACAUCACCGGCCCCAGCUGGAUUUUCCCAGGGUCAGGUGCCCAUUCCUACAUGAUCAAAGGACACUUCUGCUGACCUGCACCUAGAAUGCCCUCUUCUGUGCCGAUGCCUCAGAUGUAAGAAUGAUGAAGUGCAUGGGUUGAAAUGCAGAGAACAAUGAGAAAAAGAACUGAGUUGUGGGAAGACGUGAGGAAAGGAUGUGAGGCUCUUAAUAACAGCUGCCAAGUACUGCAGUCGGGAAUCCGGAGCAAAGCGAUUCAUUCUGACCACUGCCUAUAAGUAAACGGGAUUUUAUUUUUCAAUACUUUUGUUUAAUAGUACCUCCUUCAUUACAUGUGAACAGCAUUCCAGGAUAGUAAAUCAUGAAAUGGGAAUAAAGUCUGUAAUUUUAAUUAACAUAUUUUAAAAUGUUUCUAAUUUGUAUGCAUUUGAUCUAAUUUUCAUUUGCAUUGAGCGAUUUUUUUCUUUCUCAUAUAAUGUUUGACAUUACCAUUUCUUUCUUUAAUGAAAUACUAAUAUUUAAUAAAAUAUUUUACA